This is an RNA transcript of Nerophis ophidion (straightnose pipefish), 4832 nucleotides long. It is a transcript of the gene named actin binding LIM protein 1a, with no coding region annotated. Lineage: Eukaryota; Metazoa; Chordata; Actinopteri; Syngnathiformes; Syngnathidae. The transcript has 23 exons. The record is from RefSeq and is a predicted model, not a curated record.
AGCUUCUUUCUCAGUAUCUCACAGGGCUUUACCUGUAGCAGAAGGUCUUGUCUUUGGGUAUUUUUUGACUUUUCCCGCACAAGGUGGACACUAACUUUUAGUUUUUUGACUUGAGUUUACUAAAGGGGUGGAUUCCAAGAAAAAGCCUGCUCUUUUUUUCAAACUGGAAAUUGCUGGGAUUUUCUGAUGCACUGCUGUGCGUUUGCAGCCCAGUCUGGCUUCCGAAUGAUCUUGCUUUUAGAACGAGAUUGAGACUCACCCCUGGACCCUGGCUGACAUCUACCUGGAGUGCUUCACCCGCCUCUGUGGAACGGUUGAAGCAGGGGAAAGCAUCAUGCCCACCCUGCCAAAUCUAAACAGCCUAGGGAGGUUGUGCAGCUCCAGCCGCAGCCACAAUGUCGACCGAGUACGAGUCAAACGCAAUGGCUCCAUUAAGCGCAUGUCUGUCAUUGAGGAUGGUCAUGUGGCUGAGGUCCUGUACCUCAUUCCUAAACAGUACAUGGAGCAGCUGCCCUACCUCAACCCAAACGACUAUUACCUGAGUGAGAGGCUGCAUGAUGUUGCUUCAGUGGCCCAUGUGCAGGAGACACACCAUCGUUCCACAGAGAAGCCCCUGAUCCAGUGCUUUAAGUGCGGGCAGCCAUGUAAGGGCGAGGUGCUGCGGGUGCAGAACAAACACUUCCACCUAAAGUGCUUCACCUGUAAAGUGUGCGGCUGCGACCUGGCCCAGGGGGGCUUCUUCAUGAAGAAUGGAGAGUAUCUGUGCACGCUGGACUACCAACGCAUGCACGGCACCCGCUGCAAUGGAUGCGGGGACUUCGUGGAGGGGGAAGUGGUCACGGCAUUGGGAAAGACCUAUCACCCAGCCUGCUUUGUCUGCACUAUCUGCAAACGGCCUUUCCCAGCAGGAGACAGAGUGACCUUUAACGGGAAGGAUUGUUUGUGUCAGUACUGUCUUGAGCCAAUGUCUCCUGGACCAAAAGACAUCGUUGGCUCCAGUAACUGUGCAGGGUGUGGCCGAGACAUAAAGAACGGACAAGCCCUCCUAGCGUUGGACAAACAAUGGCAUCUGGGCUGCUUCAAGUGCAAGGCCUGCUGCAAAGUGCUAACCGGGGAGUACAUAAGCAAGGAUGGUGCUCCAUACUGUGAGAAGGACUACCAGAUCCAUUUUGGAGUGCAGUGUGAGGCGUGUCAUCAGUUCAUCACAGGAAAAGUGCUGGAGGCAGGAGAUAAACAUUACCACCCCAGCUGCGCCAGAUGCAGCAGGUGCAAUCAGAUGUUCACUGAAGGAGAAGAGAUGUACCUGCAAGGAUCAACGGUGUGGCAUCCUGGCUGCAAGAACACAACAAGGACAGAGGAGAGACACAUGGAGAGGCCUACUAGGUCGUCAUCUGAGAGUAUUUCUUCCAGACCUGGUUCAAGCAUACCUGGAUCACCGGGUCACACAAUCUAUGCAAAAGUAGACAAUGAGAUUCUUGAUUACAGAGACCUAGCUGCCAUUCCAAAAGUCAAAGCCAUUUAUGACAUUGAGCGCCCCGAUCUUAUUACCUAUGAGCCUAUGUACACCACCUCCCAGGAGGAGAGAGAGGAGAGACGAGAGAGUGUAGGAGAGCUUCUCAAUGCCAGGAGGGACCGCUCACCCUUGCCUGACGACAAGUCGUUCAGAACCAUGUCACCAACUCUAUCCAAUGAGGGAUGUUAUGACAAGCGAGAACGCAUCCUCCAAAGGUCCACCAGUCAAGGCUCUAUAGGCUCGCCGGUUUACAAUCGCCAUGGUUACACCCCCACUCUGUCACGGUCGCCGCAGCACUUUCACAGGCCAGAAGCUCUGACAGGCAUGCAGAAACUCUGCUCCUCCCUGUGCAGUAACAGUGUGGGCUCCAGAAAUAAUGACUCCCGCCCCACCUCCCCUUUCAGACACCACUUCCUUCCCCAUAGCCAAGGCACUGACCCACCAAGCGGCCGGAGCUCCCCUCUCCCGCUUAGGCCCGACAGCCGGCCGGGCACCCCGCCUCUCUCUCAGACCCCUAAACAUUUUCACCUCCCAGAUCAGGGCAGCAACAUUUACAGAAAACCACCCAUCUACAAACAAUACGAUACCAAUGACAUAGCACGUCAAAGCAAGUCGGCUGAUGACAUCAUCAGAUGUGCCACCUUCCCUGCUGCCCAUGCUCCCUCUCCAGACGACAACUCACAGCGUGAGGGUGAUUGUCAGCCCGACUCUAUCGCUGUUUUAGGUUCAGAAGGCAGAAGACGAUCAAGAGAAGAAGAGGAGGAGGAGACAUUGAAACGAAAGCAGCUUCAGGAAGAACAUCUCAACAAGAUUCAGUCUGGUUUGGGAAAGCUAAUUCUAAGGGAGGAGAUGGAAAAAGAUCAGAUUAGGGAGCGUCACGCGAGGAGUCUCUCUGCUCAGCGCUACGACCCCAAGCAGAAUAAUGGAGAUGCGGAUCCAACUUCUCCAAGCAAAACAAACUCUUUGCCUGGCUAUGGAAGGAAUGGUCUACAUCGGCCCCAGUCAACAGACUUCACACAGUACAACAGCUACGGUGACAUGUGUGGAGGAAGCAGAGGUGUAUCCCUAUGAAAUGCUCAUGAUUACCAGUAGAGGGAGAGCUAGACUGCCCAGAGAUGUGGACAGAACCAGACUGGAGCGCCACUUAGCACCCGAAACCUUCUUUGACAUCUUUGGAAUGGAGAUCCAGGAGUUUGACAGGCUUCCCCUGUGGAAACGCAACGACAUGAAAAAGAAGGCCAAGCUCUUCUAGCGGCAUGCUUCAUACCCACAAGACAACAACAAUUAUCUACACAUGUUAGGCUUUGCUUUGUUACCUUUUCUUCUGUCUUUUUUUUUUUUAACUUCUGACAUGAUCAAGAGGUUCGACUUGCACAUAAAUGCAAAUUGGUCUCAUGUUCAACAAUGACACACAAUGAAAGAUAAACAGGAUCAUAUAUUUAUGUUGCUGCUGCUUUUUUCUUCUUCUUUUUGCUGGAAUCGCUUCGAUCUCUUUUAUGCUUGUUUCUUCCUGCAAUUUAUUGAUUUGACUCCUGUGGAUAUUUGUAAGUGCAGUAGAACCUACAGCCUUGUAGUCUUGAACAUAUGUCUGCUUUCCUUUGCUUGGACUGGAAUAGAUUCAGUCCAAAGUUUGCAUCGAUCGGCUCAGUGAGUCUUUGAAUAUUAUAUUCAAAAUACAAAAUAAAAAACACGCACACCGACACUGGGAAGGCAGUCAGCUGACUCAAAAACAGUUUACUGCAUCUAAUGAACAAUCCAAGCAUCUUCACUAAGACUGUACAUGUAGGGCCUGAUUUACUUAAGGUAUGUGUGUACUUAAAACACGUGCAAACUUAAUUGCACAAGCAAAGCUGAUCUACGAGAUGUGUGCAAAGUGAAUUGCGUGUGUUAAGUGAGCAAAAUAAUAUAUGCUGAGCAUUAAAACACCCACAAUACUGGGAGGAGAAGAGACGAAUACAAUUAUUUAGCACACGCAAUGUGAUUUAUCAACACUCAUCACCGUUUUGUGAACACUAUUUUGUGUUUUAUUCAGCACAUGUCAGAAGGACGUGCAAACUGAUCAGUUGGCUGCAGGAUCAGUGCUCAGGCGAUAGACAGACUAGAACCCUGUAUACAUCCUACAUGUGUCAACAUUUUGUCCUUUCAGCAACAAUUUUAUAGCUGCUAGAGGACAUAAGGCCUGCUCAGUGGCCUUGUGGUUAUAGUGUCCGCCCUGAGAUCGGUGGGUUUGUGAGUUCAAACCCUGGCCGAGUUAUACCAAACACUAUAAAAAUGGGACCCAUUACCUCCCUGCUUGGCACUCAGCAUCAAUGGUUUGAAUUGGGGGUGAAAUCACCGAAAUGAUUCCCGAGCGUGGCCGCCGCUGCUGCUCACUGAGCAGAAGGGGAUGGGUCAAAUGCAGAAGGUAAUUUCACCACACCUAGUGUGUGUGUGACUGUCAGUGGUACUUUAACUUUAUAACUUAAGGGGCUGAUUAUGUGUUUUGGUCUCAUUUAAUUUUUUCUUUUAAUGACAUUCAUCCAUUUUCUACCGCUUGUCCCUUUUAGGGUUGCGGGGGGUUGCUGGGGCCUUUCUCAGCUGCAUUCGGGCAGAAGGCAAAUCGACACCUCAUCGCAGGGCCAACACAUACAGACAGACAACAUUCAUAUACAUAUUGUUAAAAUAUUUCUUAUACAAAAAACAACUUCUUGAAGUAUGCAUUUUUUUGAAGGUCUGGAGUGGAAUAUUUGCUGCCUUUCUCCAACGAGCCCACUUUUGGCAAAAAAAAUACUAAAAGAAAAGUGGUGCCAAUGUAGAUGCACUUCACAGCUGCUUCUAAAAUGCCCAUAAAAAGUGGUAGAUGUUUUCUGCAUGUUUAAAAAUAUAACAAAACGCCGCAGGUGAAAGCAUAAUAACGUGAAUGUGCAGUAAAUGAGAGUGACUCUGUCGUGAUGCCCCGUAUAGUACACGCAAAAUCAUUUUUGAUUGCACAAGCAGUCUUAGCAAUUCGCAAGCAACACACCCACUAAUAGUACACACUAUUUUAUAGAUUGCACACGCCCUUUACCGCGUGGUAUUUGGAUCUUAGUAAAUCAGGCCCACGGUGUCACUCUUCUCAGGCUUUCUCCAACACUUACCAAUUACUCUUUACAUGUAUUAGAAGUAUAACUCAAAACAUUUCAAUGCCAUACCCAAUAUAUGUACAGUAACAGGCAAAUCGAUACUACAGCUCAUGUACGCCCACCUGUAUUUGAAAGAAAUGUUUUAUAAAUGAAAAGCCACACUGCCGUUUGUUGUAUGGAAAAGUAAGCCAAUAAAGCUUUAAACACCACAAACCAUA